Molecule: long non-coding RNA, 2270 nt
Filed under: Salmo salar (Atlantic salmon)
Lineage: Eukaryota; Metazoa; Chordata; Actinopteri; Salmoniformes; Salmonidae
Description: lncRNA (ENSSSAG00000088801.1)
Source: RNAcentral
CCUCACUGCCCCUAUGCACUCGCUAGCAUAUACAUCCUCUGUGCUGUUGUUCCCAGCAUCUGUGUUUGUUUCAAUGGAGUGCACUUUACCCUCCUUUCUCUUGCUUUUCAUGCAGACCCUUGUAGCUGCCUUUUCCCUUAGCCUAGUGACAAAGCUGUCAAUGGACUCCCCGUCCUCCUGUUUGCAACACCCGAAAACAUAACGCUCGUAGAUAACGUUCUUUGCUGGCUUAAAGUAAUGUUCAAGAGCAUCAAGAAUAGCUGUAGCGUUACCUUGCUGAGCUGCUGUUAGGUUCAGGUUGUGUUUGUAUACGUGUCGGCAUUCAGUUCCCAUUAUAGUCCUCAAAGUGGCAGCCACUACCUCAUCGUCCUUUUCCAGAAGUCCUGUUGCUAGUGCAUAGUCCUCCCAUUCACCUCUAAACGUAUCCCAGUUUGUGCUCCAAUCUCCGCUGAGCUUCAUGACGGCGGGAGGGAGAAUGUUCGCUGCCAUGUCUAACCGGUGCUAACAACACUGAAGCUAACUAGCAAACUCACUCUAGCUAAGGACAAUUCCGGCGACCGGCGAAGUUUUACUCAAAUAAGCAUUUUGGGGGGGUAAACCAGAACAGGUGACUCUAAUUUGCGGAAAGCAUGGUUAGUUAUCCGACUCUGACACCAUGUUUGAAUGUUAAAUGACGAGACAGAGGCAUUGACGCGAGUAACCAGUCUUGCUUGUUCAGUAUAUUGCAAUACAUCCGGGUAUUUCAAGCACACCGGUAACACUGGAGUUGCAGUAAUUAACAUUUACCAACAGAUGGCAUUACUGUGCCAUCUUACACCCAUAACAACAUGCACCAAACGUGUCACAGCUUCGUAAAAAGCGUUGCCUACCGCGGUCUUUGAAAUGAAAGCUGUCAGGCGAGAGCGGCCCCCACACACAGACAGUUUUUCCUCGGAGAAACGCACUAGAGACCUAGUUGAGACUCACGGGAUUUUGGAAAGAAAUUAGACGAUAUUAUUUUCAUUUUAGGAAAGAAACCAAACUAUUUUUGUGUUUUUUUCCGAGACACCCGAGGACAGCCACAGAGUUCCCUGGCGCGGAGAAAGUAACAUCUUCAACUGGCGACGACAGAGGGACACCACCGGAGGAGUCAUUCCAAGCAACUCUGCUCAAACAAAUGGAUUGGAGAGUUAUAUUUGUCUGCGCAGUAGCAUGGCAUGUUUCACUGGUGUCACAAUCUUAUGCCACAGGUGGUGUGAAUACAUCUCUCUCUACAGCUCAGAGCAACUUGUCUCUGUGUUUCACCUGCAACGGUGAGAGAUGUCAAGAUGUGAAAAAGAUUUUCAACUCAAUGAGAGAUGACAAAAUUUGGACGCAAAGUACUGCAACGUCUGCCCUUCUUGGCUGUUCCCUGACCUCGUCUCCCUUUGCUGGGAAGUGUGUGCCAUGUGUUGAGGACCGCAAGGUCUACAUUGUUUGCCUUGACAUGCCCAAGGAUCUCAAACUGGACCUGGAGGAUGGUGAUGGCAACUCAUUUUCCUACACUGAAGCUACAUGCCCUAGACUGACGGCGUCUAGAGCUGUAGGUCACGCUGGACACAACAGCCAGUGGCUGUAACAACAAAAUCUGGAAAAAGUCAAGGGGUGUGAAUACUUUCUGAAGGUGGAGUCAGAGGUCUUGCUGGGCAUGGUGGAGCAAUGAUCAGCAUUGGCAUGUUAGCAGCUGCCGUCAUCUUUGUCGCUUACUACAGAAGCCAGACCAAAUCAAGUAUUGUCUAGUGUCAACUUCAGAAGUCCACUCAGAGGAACACCAGACCCAUUUAAAGUUAUUAAAGACUGUCACGUCUACUGCUCCCCCUCUCCGGCGCACAGAGGGAGGGGGGCAGAACAUGAGACAGAGCUGCAUUUCAUGACAAAAUGUGAAAAAUAUAAAACAAUUAGAGAGUGUAAUUUCCCCAAAUUUGAAACCCUUAUUCAAGGUUUCAAAGACCUCUCUGGUGAGAGGCUACCCUUCCUGUUGGGGGAAAGACGCAGAGAGCUGGGGGUUGGCAGCGCACUACAUUGCUGCCUGCCAUAAGAUGAGGGACAGUGUCUGACAGACCAAUCAACCUGCACAUGUCCUCUACUGUAUGCUUAUUGUUUAAUGUAUGGUUAUUUUGACCCUUGGUUAUUGUUGUUACUGUUGUCCCGUUGACAAUUUUGAUUUAUUAUUUUCAUGUUGUAAAUAUCCAAAAUAAGCUUUGGCAAUAUGUACAUUGUUACGUUAUGCCAAUAAAGUGAAUUGAAUUGAA